RNAcentral lists this ribosomal RNA (376 nucleotides) under uncultured bacterium. RNAcentral describes it as "bacterial SSU rRNA". It matches the Rfam family "Bacterial small subunit ribosomal RNA", at positions 524 to 898 of the family's 1533-position model. The record is from RNAcentral.
UACGUAGGGCGCGAGCGUUGUCCGGAUUUAUUGGGCGUAAAGAGCUCGUAGGUGGCUUGUCGCGUCUGCCGUGAAAGCCCAUGGCUUAACUGUGGGUCUGCGGUGGAUACGGGCUGGCUUGAGGCAGGUAGGGGCAAGCGGAAUUCCUGGUGUAGCGGUGAAAUGCGCAGAUAUCAGGAGGAACACCGGUGGCGAAGGCGGCUUGCUGGGCCUUGCCUGACGCUGAGGAGCGAAAGCGUGGGGAGCGAACAGGAUUAGAUACCCUGGUAGUCCAUGCUGUAAACGUUGGGCGCUAGGUGUUGGGCCCUUCCACGGGUUCGGUGCCGUAGCUAACGCAUUAAGCGCCCCGCCUGGGGAGUACGGCCGCAAGGCUAAA